GACGUAGGGUGCCAGCGUUGUUCGGAAUUACUGGGCGUAAAGGGUUCGUAGGCGGUGUGGUAAGUCGGGUGUGAAAUCUCUGGGCUCAACUCAGAGACUGCUUCCGAAACUGCUGUGCUGGAGUGUGGGAGAGGCGCGUGGAAUUGCAGGUGUAGCGGUGAAAUGCGUAGAUAUCUGCAGGAACACCCGUGGCGAAAGCGGCGCGCUGGACCCAUACUGACGCUGAGGAACGAAAGCUAGGGGAGCAAACAGG
Molecule: ribosomal RNA, 253 nt
Filed under: uncultured bacterium
Lineage: Bacteria
Description: partial 16S ribosomal RNA
Rfam family: Bacterial small subunit ribosomal RNA
Source: RNAcentral